GGAAAGAUGAUAUCAAUAUGUUGUGUCUAUCGUGUAUUAUUAGAGUAACUGAAAUUGUUUAACGAAUUCGCGCUUAGUUUGCAAUAGAAUAUCCUAUAAAGAAGGCUGUGUAUUUUGACAACAAAACCGAUAAAGGUGUGCCUCUCACCCACGAUUUGGCUCUAGAGGUGUUAAAUGAUGGUAACUAGUCCGAAAGAGAAGAUUUAGAUGGCGAAAAUGAUAUUGCUUUUGACGUUCAGAUGUUUAAAAAUAACACCGAUGACAAGGAUAUUGAAGAAACUGUAUUAGAUGAAGAACCUGUAUUGGAUGAAGAACCUGUUCCUUCAACGAGCUCUUCUUCAACAAAGAGGCAAUGGAAAGACAUGACAUUUCAGCAAAAAAUGUUUGUUCUAUUUUAGUUAUAGGUCUGGAUCCCGCGUAUGAAAAAAAAGUUGAUUAAUAGCAAGCUGAAAAUUUGUUAAUAGCUUAAAGGUGUCUAGUCGAAUAAACUUUGAUAUAUGGGAACACUGAAACAGGGGUAGUUUUAAUUGUGGAACAGGUUAAAAAUUUGGAACGGUUACAGCACGAAAACGGCACAUUUAUUUUGUCCGACAGAACAGACUUAAACUCUCCGAACAGAGAUUAAACUCUCAUGAAAAAAUCAGACUGCUAUUUAUUACCUGUCAUAAUUCCUGUCAUUUGACAUAUUCUACAUGUUCCACUCAUUAAAACGCCCAUUUGGUGAUAAAUAGCAGUCUGAUUUUUGCAUGAGAGUUUAAUCUCUGUUCGAAGAGUUUAAGUCUGUUCUGUCGGACAAAAUAAAUGUGCCGUUUUCGUGCUGUGACCGUUCUAAAUUUUUAACCUGUUCCACAAUUAAAACUACCCCUGUUCCAGUGUUCACACAUAUCAAAGUUUAUUCGACUAGACACCCUUAAGCUAUUAACAAAUUUUCAGCUUGCUAUUAAUCAACUUUUUUUUCAUACGCGGGAUCCAGACCUAUUAGUAUGUAAUAGCACAUUAAACAAUUAUAAAAAUAAUUUUUAUUUGGCCCUAAUGGUGUUUUACGUUUAAUAAAAAUGAAUUUUUUCAUACA
Molecule: long non-coding RNA, 1072 nt
Organism: Diabrotica virgifera virgifera (western corn rootworm)
Lineage: Eukaryota; Metazoa; Arthropoda; Insecta; Coleoptera; Chrysomelidae
Exons: 2
Source: RefSeq, a predicted model, not a curated record